RNAcentral lists this ribosomal RNA (253 nucleotides) under uncultured bacterium. RNAcentral describes it as "partial 16S ribosomal RNA". It matches the Rfam family "Bacterial small subunit ribosomal RNA", at positions 524 to 776 of the family's 1533-position model. The record is from RNAcentral.
GACGAACCGUGCAAACGUUGUUCGGAAUCACUGGGCUUAAAGGGCGCGUAGGCGGGUCUCCCAGUCUGUGGUGAAAGCCUCCAGCUUAACUGGAGAAGUGCCGUGGAUACUGGAGACCUCGAGGAGGGUAGGGGCAUCUGGAACGGUCGGUGGAGCGGUGAAAUGCGUUGAUAUCGACCGGAACUCCGGUGGCGAAGGCGAGGUGCUGGACCCUUUCUGACGCUGAGGCGCGAAAGCCAGGGGAGCAAACGGG